This 1454-nucleotide small RNA is filed under the name Pongo abelii (Sumatran orangutan). RNAcentral describes it as "retained intron". The record is from RNAcentral. Lineage: Eukaryota; Metazoa; Chordata; Mammalia; Primates; Hominidae.
GCAAGCGGCGAUGGCGGCGGCGGCGGGAGCUGCAGCGGCGGCGGCCGCCGAGGGGGAGGCCCCCGCUGAGAUGGGGGCGCUGCUGCUGGAGAAGGAAACCAGAGGAGCCACCGAGAGAGUUCAUGGCUCUUUGGGGGACACCCCUCGUAGUGAAGAGACCCUGCCCAAGGCCACCCCCGACUCCCUGGAGCCCGCUGGCCCCUCAUCUCCAGCCUCUGUCACUGUCACUGUUGGCGAUGAGGGGGCUGACACCCCUGUAGGGGCUACACCACUCAUUGAGGAUGAAUCCGAGAAUCUUGAGGGAGAUGGGGACCUCCAUGGGGGCCGGAUCCUGCUGGGCCAUGCCACAAAGUCAUUCCCCUCUUCCCCCAGCAAGGGGGGUUCCUGUCCUAGCCGGGCCAAGAUGUCAAUGACAGGGGCGGGAAAAUCACCUCCAUCUGUCCAGAGUUUGGCUAUGAGGCUACUGAGUAUGCCGGGAGCCCAGGGAGCUGCAGCAGCAGGGCCUGAACCCCCUCCAGCCACCGCUAGCCCAGAGGGACAGCCCAAGGUCCACCGAGCCCGCAAAACCAUGUCCAAACCAGGGAAUGGACAGGUGAGUAGGAUGGGAGAGAUGGGAUAAUCAACUAUAAACCUUUGGUGAGCUCUUUUACAGUUUCACUUAAGGCUUCUACUCUAUUUACUCAUUCACAUAUUUAAGCAAGGGGCUACUAUGUGUCAAAUAUUAGGCUGUGCUUGAUCUGUGAACCAACAGACAGGUUCCUCUCUUCCUGCAGUUUACAUUCUUGGGUGGUGAAAGUUUCAUGUUAAAGAGUCAAUUAUAUAGUUAAUGUCUUAAUUACUCUUAUGAUAAUGACAAGGUAAGGGAAUUUCAAACCACUCUUCCUUUCUACCUCAAAGCAAGCCCUUGGGGAACUCAGCUGUCACUGCUCUAUUUGUAAAGUUUUUCCUGGGAAUCCCAGUGGGAAAGGAGAUGAGGGCCACAGAAAUAAUAGAGGAGGGAAGUGACAAGGGCCCCAGAAGCUUUAUGACCAAGUUCUAGGGUUCUUGGGUCAUACCUAUUGUUGACCUAAAGGAAAAAACUGAGGCAAACUUAACAUUAAGUAGAGUGUAUUUGGGCAGGUUUUGAGGACAGCCUUCAGGAGCAAAGAUUCAAGUUGCCCUGAAAAUACACUCUGAUUAGCAGCAGUUACAGGUAGGGGUUUUUUUGUUUGUUUUGUUUUGUUUUUGAAGACAGUUUCACUAUGUUGCUCAGGCUGGUCUCAAACUGCUGGGCUUCAGCAAUCUUCCUGCCUUGACCUCGCAAAGUGCUGGGAUUACAGGUGCAAGCCACCACAACCAGCCCACAAGUAGGUUUUUAAAGGAAAAGAAGAUUGGAUGACAUGAAGAUAUUGAAAAAAAACAGGCUGACUCUGGGCACACUGCUUAGGAGUUAGCCCUGCUCUGGAAGGAGCCAC